This 279-nucleotide ribosomal RNA is filed under the name uncultured bacterium. RNAcentral's name for it is "partial 16S ribosomal RNA". It matches the Rfam family "Bacterial small subunit ribosomal RNA", at positions 506 to 784 of the family's 1533-position model. The record is from RNAcentral.
UGCCAGCCGCCGCGGUAAUACAGAGGGUGCAAGCGUUAAUCGGGAUUACUGGGCGUAAAGCGUGCGUAGGCGGAUGUUUUAGUCAGAUGUGAAAGCCCCGGGCUCAACCUGGGAAUUGCAUCUGAUACUGGGCAUCUAGAGUAUGGUAGAGGAUAGUGGAAUUUCUGGUGUAGCGGUGAAAUGCGUAGAUAUCAGAAGGAACACCGGUGGCGAAGGCGGCUAACUGGACCAAUACUGACGCUGAGGUACGAAAGCGUGGGUAGCGAACAGGAUUAGAUA